UACGAACGCUGGCGGCAGGCCUAAUACAUGCAAGUCGAACGAACCCUUCGGGGUGAGUGGCGCACGGGUGAGUAACGCGUGGGAACGUGCCCCUGGGUGCGGAACAACAGCUGGAAACGGCUGCUAAUACCGCAUAAUGACUUCGGUCCAAAGAUUUAUCGCCCAGGGAUCGGCCCGCGUCUGAUUAGCUAGUUGGUAGGGUAACGGCCUACCAAGGCUCCGAUGGGUAGCCGACCUGAGAGGGUGACCGGCCACACUGGGACUGAGAUACGGCCCAGACUCCUACGGGAGGCAGCAGUAGGGAAUAUUGCGCAAUGGAGGCAACUCUGACGCAGCAACGCCGCGUGGAUGAUGAAGCUCUUUGGAGUGUAAAGUCCUGUCGCCAGGGAAGAAACGGUGGACGAGGAAAUGCGUCUGCCCUGACGGUACCUGGAGAGGAAGUUCCGGCUAACUCCGUGCCAGCAGCCGCGGUAACACGGGGGAACGAGCGUUGUUCGGAUUUACUGGGCGUAAAGGGUG
This 519-nucleotide ribosomal RNA is filed under the name uncultured bacterium. Its description in RNAcentral is "bacterial SSU rRNA". It matches the Rfam family "Bacterial small subunit ribosomal RNA", at positions 28 to 569 of the family's 1533-position model. The record is from RNAcentral.